UUUCCGUAGGUGAACCUGCGGAAGGAUCAUUACUGCGUGCGGGCCCCUCGGGGUCCAACCCCCCACGCGUGUUUACCGAACCUUGUUGCUUCGGCGGGCCCGCCCCACGGCCGCCGGCGGGCAUCUGCCCCCGGGCCCGCGCCCGCUGAAGGCCCCUGUGAACGCUGUCUGAAGUAUGCAGUCUGAGACAAUUAUUAAAUUAAUUAAAACUUUCAACAACGGAUCUCUUGGUUCCG
RNAcentral lists this unclassified non-coding RNA (236 nucleotides) under plant metagenome. RNAcentral's name for it is "partial contains small subunit ribosomal RNA, internal transcribed spacer 1, and 5.8S ribosomal RNA". The record is from RNAcentral.